Molecule: ribosomal RNA, 1303 nt
Filed under: metagenome
Description: bacterial LSU rRNA
Rfam family: Bacterial large subunit ribosomal RNA
Source: RNAcentral
CUACACGACCGUACCGCAAACCGACACUGGUGCGCGAGAUGAGUAUUCUAAGGCGCUUGAGAGAACUCAGGAGAAGGAACUCGGCAAAUUGACACCGUAACUUCGGAAGAAGGUGUGCCUUUAGUAGGUGAAGGGAUUUACUCCUGGAGCCCAAUGAGGUUGCAAAAAAUCGGUGGCUGCGACUGUUUAUUAAAAACACAGCACUCUGCAAACACGAAAGUGGACGUAUAGGGUGUGACGCCUGCCCGGUGCUGGAAGAUUAAAUGAUGGGGUGCAAGCUCUUGAUUGAAGUCCCAGUAAACGGCGGCCGUAACAAUAACGGUCCUAAGGUAGCGAAAUUCCUUGUCGGGUAAGUUCCGACCUGCACGAAUGGCGUAACGAUGGCCACACUGUCUCCUCCUGAGACUCAGCGAAGUUGAAAUGUUUGUGAUGAUGCAAUCUCCCCGCGGAAAGACGGAAAGACCCCAUGAACCUUUACUGUAGCUUUGUAUUGGACUUUGAACAGAUCUGUGUAGGAUAGGUGGGAGGCUUUGAAGCAGGGUCGCUAGAUCUUGUGGAGCCAACGUUGAAAUACCACCCUGGUGUGUUUGAGGUUCUAACCUAGGCCCGUAAUCCGGGUUGGGGACAGUGCAUGGUAGGCAGUUUGACUGGGGCGGUCUCCUCCCAAAGUGUAACGGAGGAGUUCGAAGGUACGCUAGUUACGGUCGGACAUCGUGACGAUAGUGCAAUGGCAUAAGCGUGCUUAACUGCGAGACUGACAAGUCGAGCAGAUGCGAAAGCAGGACAUAGUGAUCCGGUGGUUCUGUAUGGAAGGGCCAUCGCUCAACGGAUAAAAGGUACUCUGGGGAUAACAGGCUGAUACCGCCCAAGAGUUCAUAUCGACGGCGGUGUUUGGCACCUCGAUGUCGGCUCAUCUCAUCCUGGGGCUGUAGCCGGUCCCAAGGGUAUGGCUGUUCGCCAUUUAAAGAGGUACGUGAGCUGGGUUUAAAACGUCGUGAGACAGUUUGGUCCCUAUCUUCCGUGGGCGCUGCAGAUUUGAGGAAGCCUGCUCCUAGUACGAGAGGACCGGAGUGGACGCACCUCUGGUGUAUCGGUUGUCACGCCAGUGGCAUUGCCGAGUAGCUAUGUGCGGAAGAGAUAACCGCUGAAAGCAUCUAAGCGGGAAACUCGUUUCAAGAUGAGAUCUGCCGGGGCCUUGAGCCCCCUGAAGAGUCGUUCAAGACCAGGACGUUGAUAGGUCGGGUGUGGAAGCGCAGUAAUGCGUUAAGCUAACCGAUACUAAUUGCUCGUGCGGCUUGACCCC